GACGAACGCUGGCGGCGCGCCUAACACAUGCAAGUCGAACGAGCGAGAGAGAGCUUGCUUUCUCGAGCGAGUGGCGAACGGGUGAGUAACGCGUGAGGAACCUGCCUCAAAGAGGGGGACAACAGUUGGAAACGACUGCUAAUACCGCAUAAGCCCAGGGCUCGGCAUCGAGCAGGGGGAAAAGGAGCAAUCCGCUUUGAGAUGGCCUCGCGUCCGAUUAGCUAGUUGGUGGGGUAACGGCCCACCAAGGCGACGAUCGGUAGCCGGACUGAGAGGUUGAACGGCCACAUUGGGACUGAGACACGGCCCAGACUCCUACGGGAGGCAGCAGUGGGGAAUAUUGCGCAAUGGGGGAAACCCUGAUGCAGCGACGCCGCGUGGAGGAAGAAGGUCUUCGGAUUGUAAACUCCUGUUGUUGGGGAAGAUAAUGACGGUACCCAACAAGGAAGUGACGGCUAACUACGUG
RNAcentral lists this ribosomal RNA (466 nucleotides) under uncultured bacterium. RNAcentral's name for it is "partial 16S ribosomal RNA". It matches the Rfam family "Bacterial small subunit ribosomal RNA", at positions 28 to 507 of the family's 1533-position model. The record is from RNAcentral.